RNAcentral lists this ribosomal RNA (467 nucleotides) under uncultured bacterium. Its description in RNAcentral is "partial 16S ribosomal RNA". It matches the Rfam family "Bacterial small subunit ribosomal RNA", at positions 28 to 507 of the family's 1533-position model. The record is from RNAcentral.
GAUGAACGCUGGCGGCGUGCCUAACACAUGCAAGUCGAACGGAAAGGCCCUGAUCUUGUGGGGUUCACGAGUGGCGAACGGGUGAGUAACACGCGAGUAUCAUGCCCUUGUCUUUGGGAUAACUUCAGGAAACUGCGGCUAAUAUAGGAUAGGAUCUACUGCUGCAUGGUGGGGGUUGGAAAGUUUCGGCGGUUGGGGAUGGACUCGCGGCUUAUGAGCUUGUUGGUGGGGUAGUGGCGUCCCAGGGAUUUGACGGGUAGCCGGCCUGGGAGUGUGACCGGGCACAGAGGCACUGAGGAACGGCCCAUACGCCUACGGGAGGCAGGAGUGGAAGAUAGAGCAAAAUGGGCGGAGGGCUGGAGGAACAACUCCGGGUGCGAGAUGACGGCCUUCGGGGAAUAAACCACUUUCGCCUAUGACGAAGCGUGAUGACGGGAACUGAGUAAAGAGGCACGGGUAAACUAGUG